This 496-nucleotide ribosomal RNA is filed under the name uncultured bacterium. RNAcentral describes it as "partial 16S ribosomal RNA". It matches the Rfam family "Bacterial small subunit ribosomal RNA", at positions 28 to 507 of the family's 1533-position model. The record is from RNAcentral.
GAUGAACGCUGGCGGCGUGCCUAAUACAUGCAAGUCGAGCGAACGGACGAGAAGCUUGCUUUUCUGAUGUUAGCGGCGGACGGGUGAGUAACACGUGGAUAACCUACCUAUAAGACUGGGAUAACUUCGGGAAACCGGAGCUAAUACCGGAUAAUAUUUUGAACCGCAUGGUUCAAAAGUGAAAGACGGUCUUGCUGUCACUUAUAGAUGGAUCCGCGCUGCAUUAGCUAGUUGGUAAGGUAACGGCUUACCAAGGCAACGAUGCAUAGCCGACCUGAGAGGGUGAUCGGCCACACUGGAACUGAGACACGGUCAGACUCCUACGGGAGGCAGCAGUAGGGAAUCUUCCGCAAUGGGCGAAAGCCUGACGGAGCAAAGCCGCGUGAGUGAUGAAGGUCUUCGGAUCGUAAAACUCUGUUAUUAGGGAAGAACAUAUGUGUAAGUAACUGUGCACAUCUUGACGGUACCUAAUCAGAAAGCCACGGCUAACUACGUG